This 261-nucleotide ribosomal RNA is filed under the name Triticum aestivum (bread wheat). Its description in RNAcentral is "partial small subunit ribosomal RNA". Lineage: Eukaryota; Viridiplantae; Streptophyta; Magnoliopsida; Poales; Poaceae. The record is from RNAcentral.
AUGGUUUCGGCCAUGAAGCUGUCGGUCACCAUCGUCCUCCUCCUCUCAGGGCUCGUGGUGUUCGGGGAGACCGCGGACGCCAAGGCGAAGGCGCCGUGCGCCGUGGUGUGCUUCCAGGGAGGCCACAUCACCUGCGACAACUACCCCGGCCAGGAGCUCGACGGGUGCGACUGCGAGUGCGCGCCGGCCGACGGCAAGGGCUGCGUGCUCCACCUCGACGACGGCGUGACCCACACCAACUGCCGCACGCCCAAUAUGUAG